CGAUUUUCUGUUUUGAGUGCCCCGGGUAGCAUUCUUAACAAGUCAUUUAAACUAGAUCUGCAGAUUUCGGGGCUUUACAAUAUAACACGUCGCAGUAGACUUCAGCCAGGUUUCCAGCUGAAAUCGACAUGGGCGUGAAGGACAUGCUGUGGGCCAUUUUCUGGUUCUUGGUGCUCAUCCACCUGGCCUGGCCGAUCGCUAUGUUCUUCGGCUUCCUGUACGGCUUGGUGUCUCCCCUGACUACCUGCGUGGGAUUUGACAGAAUCACCGAAAUCUUCCUGUCAGGCGCCAGCUUGGGUCGUUCCUGUGCAGAGAAUAUGAAGUCCAGCAAGCCGCUUUGUUGAAACGUUCAGCUUUUAAGAAGAGAGAGAGAGAGAAAAAAAAACUCGUCUCGUUGUGAUCAAUUCACCAACACCGAAUAUGCUGAUCACAUGAAUUCUUAAUCCCAGAGCCUUGCUCGCCCUCCCUAUACUUUAUCAUUCCUCUUUAUCAAAGUAUUUCCAUCACGUACAAACAUGUUUACUAACUUUAAUCUAUUAUUUGUCUUUCUUUCGGGGGCAACCUACAUUUUCUGCACAAUUUUAAAACAAAAAUUGGAAAUGGUAAUGUGUGCUUUUGUGAUUCAAUAUUAGCAAUAAAUCACUCCAAAUUAUAAA
This is a long non-coding RNA of Rhincodon typus (whale shark), 656 nucleotides long. RefSeq lists it as uncharacterized. The record is from RefSeq and is a predicted model, not a curated record. The transcript has 2 exons. Lineage: Eukaryota; Metazoa; Chordata; Chondrichthyes; Orectolobiformes; Rhincodontidae.